UCUGUUUUCUCUCCUCUUUUCAAACCACGGUAAUUUUGAGGAAGAGUUGUCGUAUCUUACAGGUAUGGGAACUGCACGCGCAAGGAGACUGUUGCCUUUGGCGGACACAUCAUUGGAAGGGUUUUGCAGUUUCUUCAAGAAAUUCAAAGCUCAGACCGUCAGAUAUAUUUCUAUUGUGGUGAAGAUGCUUACAGGUGAAUGAGAAGAGCUGUAUUCGGAUUCUAUAUAUAUAUAUAUAUAUAUGAGUAUAUAUUUUGUUUAUAUUUGAUCUUAUUAGCCUUUGAUUGACAUGUUGCAUGUGGAUUUGGAGAGUGAUUUGGUUGAAUUUGAUAAUGUAUGAAUCUUCACUUAGAACUCGUAGUUAUGUCAAAUUGUCUGUACGUUAAUGAGACCUUCUAAGUUUGCAUAAUUUAUUUAUUCUAUUUUAUUUGGGUA
Molecule: long non-coding RNA, 435 nt
Organism: Cornus florida
Lineage: Eukaryota; Viridiplantae; Streptophyta; Magnoliopsida; Cornales; Cornaceae
Exons: 2
Source: RefSeq, a predicted model, not a curated record